RNAcentral lists this transfer RNA (72 nucleotides) under Paenibacillus zeirhizosphaerae. RNAcentral's name for it is "tRNA-Thr". It matches the Rfam family "tRNA". Rfam says of the family: Transfer RNA (tRNA) molecules are approximately 80 nucleotides in length. Their secondary structure includes four short double-helical elements and three loops (D, anti-codon, and T loops). Lineage: Bacteria; Bacillati; Bacillota; Bacilli; Caryophanales; Paenibacillaceae. RNAcentral also lists the same sequence under 1 other name. The record is from RNAcentral.
GCUGGUGUAGCUCAGAGGUAGAGCAACGCACUCGUAAUGCGUAGGUCUGGGGUUCGAUUCCCUUCACCAGCA